This 21-nucleotide small nuclear RNA is filed under the name Arabidopsis thaliana (thale cress). Its description in RNAcentral is "snRNA_18884". Lineage: Eukaryota; Viridiplantae; Streptophyta; Magnoliopsida; Brassicales; Brassicaceae. The record is from RNAcentral.
UCGACCGCCUGCCCACUAAAG